RNAcentral lists this ribosomal RNA (497 nucleotides) under uncultured bacterium. Its description in RNAcentral is "partial 16S ribosomal RNA". It matches the Rfam family "Bacterial small subunit ribosomal RNA", at positions 28 to 507 of the family's 1533-position model. The record is from RNAcentral.
GAUGAACGCUGGCGGCGUGCCUAAUACAUGCAAGUCGAGCGAACAGACGAGGAGCUUGCUCCUCUGACGUUAGCGGCGGACGGGUGAGUAACACGUGGAUAACCUACCUAUAAGACUGGGAUAACUUCGGGAAACCGGAGCUAAUACCGGAUAAUAUAUUGAACCGCAUGGUUCAAUAGUGAAAGACGGCUUUGCUGUCACUUAUAGAUGGAUCCGCGCCGCAUUAGCUAGUUGGUAAGGUAACGGCUUACCAAGGCAACGAUGCGUAGCCGACCUGAGAGGGUGAUCGGCCACACUGGAACUGAGACACGGUCCAGACUCCUACGGGAGGCAGCAGUAGGGAAUAUUGCGCAAUGGGCGAAAGCCUGACGGAGCAACGCCGGGUGAGUGAAGAAGGUCUUCGGAUUGUAAAACUCUGUUGUUAGGGAAGAACAAACGUGUAUGUAACUGUGGACGUCUUGACGGUACCUAAUCAGAAAGCGACGGCUAACUUCGUG